Molecule: transfer RNA, 101 nt
Filed under: Planomonospora parontospora
Lineage: Bacteria; Bacillati; Actinomycetota; Actinomycetes; Streptosporangiales; Streptosporangiaceae
Also listed under: 1 other name
Description: tRNA-Arg
Source: RNAcentral
CUGACGGCGGGGGAGUCCGCCUUCGUCCCGGCGGCCGGCGGCGCCGCCACGGUGACCACCUCGGGCACCGUGUUCUGCGCGGAACCGGGAACCGCCGGCCC